RNAcentral lists this ribosomal RNA (497 nucleotides) under uncultured bacterium. RNAcentral's name for it is "partial 16S ribosomal RNA". It matches the Rfam family "Bacterial small subunit ribosomal RNA", at positions 28 to 507 of the family's 1533-position model. The record is from RNAcentral.
GAUGAACGCUGGCGGCGUGCCUAAUACAUGCAAGUCGAGCGAACAGAUGAGGAGCUUGCUCCUCUGACGUUAGCGGCGGACGGGUGAGUAACACGUGGAUAACCUACCUAUAAGACUGGGAUAACUUCGGGAAACCGGAGCUAAUACCGGAUAAUAUAUUGAACCGCAUGGUUCAAUAGUGAAAGACGGUUUUGCUGUCACUUAUAGAUGGAUCCGCGCCGCAUUAGCUAGUUGGUAAGGUAACGGCUUACCAAGGCAACGAUGCGUAGCCGACCUGAGAGGGUGAUCGGCCACGCUGGAACUGAGACACGGUCCAGACUCCUACGGGAGGCAGCAGUAGGGAAUCUUCCGCAAUGGGCGAAAGCCUGACGGAGCAACGCCGCGUGAGUGAUGAAGGUCUUCGGAUCGUAAAACUCUGUUAUUAGGGAAGAACAAAUGUGUAAGUAACUAUGCACGUCUUGACGGUACCUAAUCAGAAAGCCACGGCUAACUACGUG